CUAUCUUUUCACCCCCAUCUAUCUGUUUCCUUAAUUCCUUCUCUAUUUCUUUUUAUUCCUUCUUCUUCUAGUCAUUUUCUCCAUCCUCCAAUAACUAGUUUUGAGAGUUCCAGUGAGGAUUGGUCCUUCGAAUCUUCUCCUUCUUUAGGGAGAGAUCCUAUAGGUUUGGAUGUCAGGCAUGAGGUCGGACCGCCUUUUAUGUCUAACACCAUCCGGUCUGCCUUGGAUUCAAAAGAUCUGAAUCUAAUUCGAGCCCAAUACAGGAUUUCCUCUUUAUAUGAGUUGGAACUUCUGAGUCCCAGUGGCA
Molecule: long non-coding RNA, 307 nt
Filed under: Elaeis guineensis (African oil palm)
Lineage: Eukaryota; Viridiplantae; Streptophyta; Magnoliopsida; Arecales; Arecaceae
Description: long non-coding RNA (EGUI_LNC014770)
Source: RNAcentral